GCAACUCGCCUACAUGAAGCGGAAUUGCUAGUAAUCGCGGAUCAGCAUGCCGCGGUGAAUACGUUCCCGGGCCUUGUACACACCGCCCGUCACACCAUGAGAGCCGGUAACACCCGAAGUCAGUAGCCUAACCGCAAGGGGGGGCGCUGCCGAAGGUGGGAUUGGUAAUUGGGGUGAAGUCGUAACAAGGUACC
Molecule: ribosomal RNA, 194 nt
Filed under: uncultured bacterium
Lineage: Bacteria
Description: partial 16S ribosomal RNA
Rfam family: Bacterial small subunit ribosomal RNA
Source: RNAcentral